Lotus japonicus is the source of this 2254-nucleotide long non-coding RNA. RefSeq lists it as uncharacterized. The record is from RefSeq and is a predicted model, not a curated record. The transcript is spliced from 11 exons. Lineage: Eukaryota; Viridiplantae; Streptophyta; Magnoliopsida; Fabales; Fabaceae.
GUGGUACUUAGAGGUGGUCAGGUUGCAUCAGCCGUUAGCACUACUGAUCAUCAUGCUGGAAAUUUUGAAGCCAAAUUUUAUGAUAUGAUUCUUCAAGAAGAAUUUAGGGAUGUGAAAGGGCAUUCUGGACUGAUUAAUGUUAUGGCCUUUAUUCAGUUGUUGUUCAAUUUUCUUCUUUAUGAGUGUUUGAUGCAAUAAUAGCUCAUGGAUCUCUCACAAAACAAGGAGUAGAAGCAGGCAUUGAGAAAAAGCAUUGUAAGGGAACUUGCUGAUGAUUUGAGAGCUCAGAUCAAAAGGGGAUUAAAGUGCAGCCAAUUAUCCAUACAAAUUGUUUAGUGCGUAAUACUCAGGCAUUUGGAUAUUAUCAUGGAAGAAAGACCUGCAUUAUCUGACCCUGCCAGUGAUGGACAUGUUUUAGUGCAGUUUUAUGGAAAUAAUGUGCUUGGAUUGAUCAAAGUCACAGAUAUUUCAACCUUUGAGGAUACGAGUUCAAUCCUGGUCUUGCAGUCUGCUUUUGCAGCUAUAAGUUCAGGGUGUCAAGAAGUCUGUAGUUUAUAUAUACAUUUUGAUAGCAUUUAAUAUCUGAGUAAAGCCAUGCUAGAAGAGGGAGUAGAUAGAAUACCUCAUCCUCAACCUAAAAGGAAGAAAGAAGAGGGCAAAGAGAGGCUUAUUUUGACUAAUUUUAAUUUUGCUAAGAUGUUGCUCAGCAGUUUGUCUCCCAACUUCUGUAUUGGACCAUCAAAAAAGUGUUAUAGCAUGCAAUUUAACCACAGUUUUUAGAUGCAUCAUAUAUGCUGCUUAUCACCAUAUGCUGGAGUUGGAAAAGAUGAGAAACAUUACUUAUAAGUGUUUCUUAAUUAAUGUUCAAGACCCUUCGUUUAUUGUCUUGAUAAUUUUUGUAUCCAUGAGAUUGUGUUAAGGGAUUUUAAGACUUUUCCAGAUUUUUCAUGAAGAAUCUACAAAUUAGAAUAGGAUAAUCAAGGGUCCAAUCACUCUCAAGGCAUAAACAAUCUGUAUUAAAGCCAUAUUUUGAAAGGAUCAUCUAUGGUCUGUUUGUUUUUCUUAGCAUUUGCCUGACCUGCAAUCUAUUUGUGGAGCCAAGUUGUUGGGAGCAACUAAGAUAAUUUGGAUCGGCAAUAAUGAGAUGAAGAGAGAACGUAUAGUUCUUAUUUGAAUUUUUAUGGUUCUUAUUUUUUAUAUGACAGGGAUUGUUUACCAGGAAUGGACAUUAUGUGUCUUUCACUCUAAGGAGUUGCAAUGUCAAAAUAAAAUUUUGAUUUGUUAAGGGAAGAUAUGGUGACAAAGAAUGAAGCAGAUUGUAGAAAACUAAAGGCGUCGUGAAAGUCCUCAAAGUUUUGGGAACUGCAUAGAAGCUUCGAAGAAGGAUAGGCAGUAUCUUCGCUACCAAAUAGAAGUUGAGUGAAAGUUAAAAGAUUUAACAUUUUCCAGUGAAAAUGAGAUGCUUAAAGACACUGCAAUCUUCUCAAGAUCAUAAUUGUCAUCUCAAGUGUUGAUCUUCAAGUCAGUUUCUUCUGAAAACCAUGCUCAAAUUUGGUGUUAGAUUCCUUCUCUUGAAGGCUGCAUAUAAUGUUCCAUUUCUGAUGCGUAGAAAUACUAUACCCAAAUUGGAGCUUUCAUCUCCACCCAAAUCAAAUAUCAUUCAUUCCAAUCACCAAACGACAUGAUGGCCUUCUUGCUGGCUCUGAAACAACUGCAGACUUUACUUCCUCAAUGCAUUCUCUUCUUGUGAAUACAAUGGACCUCACUAAGCCUAAAAUUUAAGAAAUGAUGAUGGUGACCUUUCCAUUCAUUUAACAGCAAUGGUUCUAAACCAUAUAGGUACGCUACUGUUGGACAGAAUGACAAGACAAUCACAAUCCAAAUGCAACAAAUAACUACAUUUUUUUUUGCACUUAUCACAGCAACCUACUGCUCAAAGGAAUUUCAACCCUGCAAGAGAAUUGUAUUCAAUAUUGUGGUAUGGCUUUAGCACGAUGGAACUAACACAUGGAAAAAAAUACAACCUAAAAGCGCUCCUCCUUUUACGGCUCUUUUUGUUUUCACAGUCUAGAUCAUUAGAUGUGAAAGAAAAUAUUUGCAUUAUAAAAUGUAGCCCUGAAUCACUUAUCAAGCUCUUAAAGUACUAAAAAUUCAAAUUUGACAUCACUAUUUUAUUACUGUAGUCCUUUCCUAAUGAUACAUUGAUGAACGAGAAAGAGUAUCUAUGUCCUAAAAGUAAAAUUGGUUAUUGUUA